AGCAGCCGCGGUAAUUCCAGCUCCAAUAGCGUAUAUUAAAGUUGUUGCAGUUAAAAAGCUCGUAGUUGAAUUUCGGGAUUGGCGCAUCGGUCGUGCCUUACGGGGUAUGAACUGGUGCAGUCAAUUUCUCACCUUCUGGAGAACCGCGAUGUCCUUAAUUGGGUGCCGCGGGGAACCAGGACCUUUACUUUGAAAAAAUUAGAGUGUUUAAAGCAGGCAUUUUUGCUUGAAUACAUUAGCAUGGAAUAAUAAAAUAGGACGGCAUGGUUCUAUUUUGUUGGUUUCUAGGACCACCGUAAUGAUUAAUAGGGAUAGUUGGGGGCAUUAGUAUUCAAUUGUCAGAGGUGAAAUUCUUGGAUUUAUUGAAGACUAACUACUGCGAAAGCAUUUGCCAAGGAUGUUUUCAUUAAUCAAGAACGAAAGUUAGGGGAUCGAAGACGAUCAGAUACCGUCGUAGUCUUAACCAUAAACUAUGCCGACUAGGAUCAGACGAUAGUUAAUUUUUAAUGUACUCGUUUGG
RNAcentral lists this unclassified non-coding RNA (520 nucleotides) under uncultured Entrophospora. RNAcentral's name for it is "SSU rRNA". It matches the Rfam family "Eukaryotic small subunit ribosomal RNA", at positions 569 to 1084 of the family's 1831-position model. The record is from RNAcentral. Lineage: Eukaryota; Fungi; Glomeromycota; Glomeromycetes; Entrophosporales; Entrophosporaceae.